AAUCACAAUUACAAAAGAUUGUUGCAUUGUCUUCAACUGAGGCAGAAUAUAUAGCUGCAACUGAUGCAAUUAAAGAGGUAAUUUGGCUAAAAGGACUUCUAAAUGAAUUUGAUUUCAUAAAUGAUGUUGUCUUACAUUCUGAUAGCCAAUCUGCUAUAUAUUUGAGUAGAAAUCCUGUGCUACAUAAUAAAUCUAAACAUGUUGAUGUGAAGUUUCAUUUUAUUAGAGAUGUAAUUUUUCAAGGUCUUGUUAAGCUUGAAAAGAUUUCUACCCAUUUUAACCCUGUUGAUGUUGGAACUAAAGUGCUGCCUUUAAAACAGCUGAAUAUUAAUGUUUGCUGAUUUGUGCAUCAGGGAAUAAGAGCACAUGAUGUCAUGUUUGGAGAGAUCACUAUAAAUGAUAUUGGAAUCGUUGUACCAAGGUGGAGAAUAUAGAGAAAGUGGCAAAAUCAUGGACCGGAAUGAACCUGCUAUUAAGUCAGUGGGCCGAGUGAUCCAAAUUGAUAAAUGUUGCUGUUUCACUUUGCCAAAAACCUGCUGCUGAAACACGUUUCUGCUGGUUUUAAUAGAUGCUGCCCAGAUUUUGCCAAGUGUCCAAUUAUGCACCAUUGGAUAGAGAAUUCUAGAUGCUUCUAUAUUAAUUGGCAUUAGUGCUUGGACGAAACAACAGAAUUCAUUUUUUUCACUCUUUCGCCUAUCAAACUCUCUCUUUCUCUCGGUGGUCCUUUGUCUUCCGAUUUUGCACUCCAAAAAUUUAGCCUGUUGAUGGGAAAUUAAUCCAGCCUUGUAUAGUUAAUCUUGAGUGAUUUAACAAGGUGUAUUGGUGCUAUUCGUAAGUGAAUGCCAUUGUCGAAAGAGAAAGGCUUAUGUAGAAACUAUUUUGAGUGAAUGUUGUACAGUAUGUCAGGCUUAUUUUUGGAAGAAAUCUUGUGUGAUUCCGGCUAAGUGCUAUGAAGAUUGUA
Molecule: long non-coding RNA, 961 nt
Filed under: Olea europaea subsp. europaea
Lineage: Eukaryota; Viridiplantae; Streptophyta; Magnoliopsida; Lamiales; Oleaceae
Source: RNAcentral